UACGUAGGGUGCGAGCGUUAAUCGGAAUUACUGGGCGUAAGGCGUGCGCAGGCGGUGACCCAAGUCAGAUGUGAAAUCCCCGGGCUCAACCUGGGAACUGCAUUUGUGACUGCAAGGCUAGAGUACGGCAGAGGGGGAGUGAAUUCCGCGUGUAGCAGUGAAAUGCGUAGAUAUGCGGAGGAACACCAAUGGCGAAGGCAAUCCCCUGGGCCUGUACUGACGCUCAUGCACGAAAGCGUGGGGAGC
This 246-nucleotide ribosomal RNA is filed under the name uncultured bacterium. Its description in RNAcentral is "partial 16S ribosomal RNA". It matches the Rfam family "Bacterial small subunit ribosomal RNA", at positions 524 to 769 of the family's 1533-position model. The record is from RNAcentral.